CGCUGGCGGUGUGCUUCACACAUGCAAGUCGAACGAGGUAGCAAUACCUAGUGGCGGACGGUGAGUAACGCGUGGGAAUCUGCCUUUAGAUGGGGGAUAACGGGUCGAAAGACUCGCUAAUACCGCAUAUGACGAAAGUUGAAAGGAGUAAUCCGUCUAAAGAUGAGCCCGCGUCCGAUUAGCUAGUUGGUAGAGUAAAAGCCUACCAAGGCGACGAUCGGUAGCUGGUCUGAGAGGAUGAUCAGCCACAAUGGGACUGAGACACGGCCCAUACUCCUACGGGAGGCAGCAGUGGGGAAUUUUACGCAAUGGCGAAAGCCUGACGUAGCGACACCGCGUGAGCGAAGAAGCCCCUUGGGGUGUAAAGCUCUGUCAGCUGGAACGAAAAAAAUGACGGUACCAGCAGAGGAAGCAUCGGCUAACUACGUG
This 429-nucleotide ribosomal RNA is filed under the name uncultured bacterium. Its description in RNAcentral is "bacterial SSU rRNA". It matches the Rfam family "Bacterial small subunit ribosomal RNA", at positions 34 to 507 of the family's 1533-position model. The record is from RNAcentral.